AGUAAACUCUCGAAAAGAGUUUACCUGCCUGAAAACCAGGACAGAGGCAAACUGAGACGAGAAGAUAUCCGUAGAAAGAACAAGAAUCAAAGAGAACAGACUGUAUCAGCGCUUCGCUGGUGUUCUCAUUCUUCAGUAGCAGAGUGCUACACCACUGCUGGCGACCUAAUGGUAGGAGCCAUUGACGGGCAGUCCCACGCCUGGGAAGAAGCGCGUUAAGGAAAUGAGUCCGAAAAACGGUUGUUGGAAUGGUAAAGCAAAUUAGAAGAAAAGUAAAUGUGCAAGAAAGAGAACUGUUCAAGAAAGUAUAACAGGGGUACUGAAAGGAGUGCAAUAUGGUAAAGAAAAUAAAGACUACGUAACCUUUAGAAAAUGCUCAUGUUCUAACAUUUGAAAGAGCAAAAUCCAAGCUAGGUGUGGUGGUGCACGCCAGUAAUCUCACCACUUUGAGAGACUCAGGAGGAUUGGAAGUCUUGAGUCUUGCUGGGCAAAUUAACGAGAAUUGUGUCAAAAUUUUAAAAAAUAAUAAUAAAAAGUGUUGGGACAUAACUCAAUGCAAAGGCUCCAGAUUAAUUUAGUUUAAUCUCCAGUACUGCUAAAUAAAGAAAAUGCAGACAGCUACGCUUGUAAAAAUGAACAGCGGCAUAAGCGCCUGCGUUGCAAGCGCAUGGUCAUGAGUUCGCUCCCCAGUAUCAAAAUAAAUAAAUAAAUAAAUAAAAUAAUAAUAAGUAUAAGAAUAGGGCUUUAAAAGAACAUGAAAGAAAAAGGGACUAUUACAGUAUAUUAGGUCACAGAGAUCUUUUAGAUGAAUUAUAAAAUUGCAUUUAAUGUUACUUUUUUGCAAUAAAAACUAAAUUUCCUUCACAGCUUGUCUGAACUGCUUAAGUUGAAACAGGAAAAUGUAAAUUCUGUUAUGAUUUGCCCUUGAGAUUUCAGAGGAGAGGGACUGUUAUUAUUUCAGGCUCUUAUUUCAUAGAAAGGAUGAAUUAAUCAGAAUGUUAGCACUUUAACUUAGUUUAAUGAAUUGUGUGUAUUUCUGUUGAUAAACUUACUAGGGGAGCUGCUUACAAAAGAAAAAUAAAAUGUAUUUCUUCCUUUAGAAGAUUUACAAUGCUAGGGAAGAGUAUUAUACUGUGUGUAAGGGUUCUUACAGUUGCAGACAGUAGAAUCCACUCUGGAUAGAUUUGAAGAGACCAAGAAAGCUCCUUCCAUCUGCUACUUCCCCUCCCCUUCUCCCUGCAAAUCUAACUAAGUUAAGUUUUAACUUCCUAAAGGCCAUAAAACAAAGGCCUGAGGUAAUAGCUCCUGACAACCCGGGUCUUCUCUACCCGGUAGCCCCAUCACAAAUUGUGUUAAUUGCAUCAGAUUGUAUUAGAUUGUACAUUCUUCACAAAAAUAGCUUCAUUUAUAUCAUAGUAAUAUCUGUAACUUGGCUUUACUGUAAAUGUGUGUCUUCCUUUUCCUCUGGGCAAAAGAUUGAUAUGUUAAUCAAUGCUCUCCUCUGUGAAGAAUUGUAAAUCCCUGGGGCCCUAACCUAAUUGAUAUGCUAACCAUUGUUGCCCUGUACAAAUAGAAUGGUUGUGGUGCUAAAGUAAGGUAAUUAAGGUUGUUAAUUGCUGUUAGACUUUUCUAUUCAGGAGGCCUUGUGGUGUGAGUUUCAAAACUAUGUGCAGCUCCACCCCCACAGGAUCCAGUGUUUCUGGACCAUUUCAGACAAACAGGCUGUUUUCCCAAUCAUGGGACAAAGGCCUGUUCCUAAAAAGUGCCACCCCUUCUUUCGAUACGACCCCCUCGCCCCACAAAGAAACCCAAUCCCUUAAGGACAGCUCACAGUCAGCCCUGCUCUAAUCGCUAUGAUUGGCCUCUGUAACAACGCUUGCUUGCUUUGUGGUUUUAGGCCUUAAAAGACCUAGCCCUACCCGAGUACGGGGUUCUCUGUUCCCACCUGUUUAGAGGACCCCGUGCGCACAGAAAAUAAAACCCCUUGUUCUUACAUGAGAGCUGAGUCCUUGGAGUCUCCUUCGCAACACCGGUCUUACAUUUGGAGGCCCCAGCGAGAUAGACCUCCUCGCCGAAGGAGACUCCAACGGCCACUAAGCGCCUCUCUGGGGUAAGUACGGCCGAUUCUUGUUUACUUUCAUUUUGCGAUCGAUCGUUCAUUUUCUCUUCCUUUUUUUACUGCCCUGGGCCGUUCUUGUCGUUCUUUUGGUCCUGAAUUCAAGGGCAGUUUGUUUCUGUUGGGGGACGCCCCAAGGUUCCCUCGUGGAACAUUCGACGGUGGUUCUGCACCAAUUUGAGUAGGCAGGUCACUCCUGCUGAGCUGGGUAGGUCGCUCCUACUGCUCUGUGUAGUCAUUUCAUGGCUACUGUGCGGCGGGUUUCUUUGCCGAUUUGUUUCCACCACCUAGUGGCAUAGGUGUGUGUAUGACGCCGGCUCGUAAAUGGUAUUCCUGAGUGUGGAUCCCUUGUGUUUGUCUACGUGUCUCCUGUUCCUCGUGACUCUGUUUUCUUCCAGGAUAAUAUGGGACAAACAACCUCAACCCCUCUCUCCCUUACCUUGGACCAUUGGCCCGAGGUUCGGGAGCGAGCUCACAGUCUUUCUCUCCAGGUUAAGAAGGGCAAAUGGCAGACCUUCUGUUCUUCAGAGUGGCCCACCUUUUCAGUCGGAUGGCCUCCGGAAGGGACUUUCCACCUUCCCCUGAUCCUGGCCGUAAAGGGCAUGAUUAGUGAUGGUACAGCUGAGGGAGAAAUACCCUCCCUAUAGUAUUGGCCAUUUUCCUCCUUGGUUGCCUGUUUAAACUUGUUACUAACUUAGGGGCUGGUUGCCCAUUUCUGUUGCAGGAUCCAUAUGGCUUAUUAGAUUCAAGGUUCAUAAUAAGAAAAAUUAUUUCGGGGCUGGGGGUUUAGCUCAGCGGCAUAAGCGCCUGCCUUGAAAGCAGGCAGUCGUGAGUUCGAUCCCCGGUACCGGUAAAAAGGAAAAAGACCAAAAAAAAAAAAAAAAAAAAAAAGAAAAAUUAUUUCCUUUAGCUCACCAAACUGUGCAAGAAUCUCCCUUUGUUUGUGUCUUUAAUGUUGUGGUGCCUUGUUUAAUAUGUAAGACUUCAACUGAUUGCUUGCAACCUUGGAAUGCCUUUUAAAAGGAGUAUUUUUUCUCUCUGGUUAAAAUGUAAACAUGUACACAUAUAUAUGUAUAUCUAUGGUUAUUAAGAAUCAUAUCAACUUUAUCAAGUAAAAACCAGGUGGUACUAUAUUUGAGCCAGUUAAAAGGUUACAGUUUUGUUUUUAAAAUACAGCAUUUUUAUGUGGUAAAAGGACAUAAAAUAAGUAUGUUUUAGACUACUAAAAGGUGACUUCAAGGGUUUUGUUAAGAGUUUUGAUGUUGUCUGAGAAGUGAGAGAAAAGGUAAUUGACUGGUAAUAGUAAAAAGAGGGACAAAGAGAGUAGUCUUCAAGUAAAAAUGUCUGGCUGUGCCAGAAUGUGGAAAAAAAAAAAAAAGAUAAACGCUUAACUUGGGAGGUAUAUUGUAAGUUGUAGAAGGCUCAAGAGGAUGUGAAUUUUAUUUGUCUUGGUUUAUAGUACUGCAAAUAACAGGUUUGACAAGAAGUAAAUGUGUUCAGAAUUUGACAGUAUUAGAUCAGUUUUCCAUAAGAUUGUACUUUGCUGCAAAAAUGUUUCCAUUAAAAUGAGAUUAUAGGUGAUACUAGAAAUAAAAUACAAGUUCUUACAUGUGCUGUGAACAUCUGGGAGAUUAUACAGCACAAUUUUGUUACCUAUGAAAAAGCCCUUUUUUCAAAGAAUAUAAUUUCAGUAAAAUGAUGGCCUGCCACGUGACAACCUUGGAAAAAAAGCGGUGUGCCAUCCAGAUGAAUCUGGCUCUCUGAUCCAAAUGCCAAAACCAUGUUCUCCUUUUGUGCCACCCCGAUUGGACAUCCAGAGGAGAAACUCAAAAUUCGCUGAACUGGACUGAUGAAACAGGCCUUCCAGCAGCUCAAGCGGGCCUUGACAGAGGCCCCAGCCCGGGGACUCCCUGACGUUACCAAGCCUUUCACCUUGUUCAUAGAUAAACUCAGGGGCAUUGCCAAAGGAGUCCUAACUCAGGACAUUGGCCCUUGAAAGAGGCCUAUAGCCUACCUCUCCAAAAGACUUGAUCCAGACUUGAUCCCACCUAAGAAUACUAGCUACUGUGACAAUGUUACUUUAGGAGGCGAAGAAACUCGCUUUGGGCAAGUGAUUUCUGUGGUAACCUCUCACAGUUUAGAGACUCUUAUCAAAACCCCUCCUGAAAAAAGGCUCUCGAACGCCAGAAUUCUACUGUCAAGCCCUGCUUCUAGACCCAGAGUCAAUGAUAUUCAAGACUCCUUCAGCUUUAAACCCAGCCACCCUUAUGCCUGAUGAUGAUCAGGAGGAACAAAGGACACCUCUCUCCAUGAGUGUUCUGACAUCCUUGAACUGCAGCAGAACCUAUGGGGUUCUCCGUUCCCACCUGUUUGGAGGACCCCAUGCGCACGGAAAAUAAAACCCCUUGUUCUUACAUGA
Cavia porcellus (domestic guinea pig) is the source of this 4535-nucleotide long non-coding RNA. RefSeq lists it as uncharacterized. The record is from RefSeq and is a predicted model, not a curated record. The transcript is spliced from 2 exons. NCBI's taxonomy places the organism in Eukaryota, Metazoa, Chordata, Mammalia, Rodentia, Caviidae.